Apis mellifera (honey bee) is the source of this 125-nucleotide non-coding RNA. NCBI's taxonomy places the organism in Eukaryota, Metazoa, Arthropoda, Insecta, Hymenoptera, Apidae. The record is from RefSeq and is marked provisional.
UCCAUCGUGACGAAUAUUCUUCUCUCGGGGAUGCGACUCGAGAGUUAUCGGGUAAUUAGCUUGGGUUUCUUAUGAGUUUGAUUCGAUCCUAAGGGGAGGAGAGGAUUUGUAAUUGACGUAUCGGU